GUUAUAAAAAUGCACGGAAUAACAAAAAAUCUAUUUUUUUUAAAAUUUAUGACCAGGAAUUUGUUUCAUCGGAAAUUUCACCGACAAGCUGCCACCAGAGAAGGCCAUAAUGGCAGGGAAAAUGCUGAUUCAGCUUUCCGUUGAGAGGAACAAGUUGAUGUCUAACUACACCCUGUACGGACAUCGCCAAGUUCUUCCCAGAACCUGCCCUGGGGAGGAGUUCUACAAGAUCGUUACUGAAUGGAAGCACUGGAAGCCAGGAAAUUACACCACCACGUGAUCCCAGGAAUGACGUCACAUUUGAUGCAACCGCCAUUUUCUUUGUUUUUAGAUAUAGAUUUCGUUUAAUCGUUAAAACAUUUACGAUUAUAAACAUUGGUUUUAUAAA
This is a long non-coding RNA of Branchiostoma floridae (Florida lancelet), 388 nucleotides long. RefSeq lists it as uncharacterized. Lineage: Eukaryota; Metazoa; Chordata; Leptocardii; Amphioxiformes; Branchiostomatidae. The record is from RefSeq and is a predicted model, not a curated record. The transcript has 3 exons.